CAUAAUUCUUCUUAGGUGUUUACAAUAUCAAUACUGAAGAAAGAAGUAAACCUAGCUCACUAUGUUAGAAGAUAUGCAGUAGAUAAACCAUUGUGUCUCUUCCUGCAUGGAUAACUGAAUUAAUUCUCCUUUCUCAGAUACAAUAAUCUUCACCCUUCUUCACCAAAGUUGUUUCCAUCUACUAAAUGAGUCUACUAUUCCAGUAUUUAUGAAGGAUCCAUAAAAGGUCCAGGAUAACCAAUGUAUUUCCCGAUGGUGAUAUCAAAAGGUUAAGCAAAUAGAAAGAUAUCAAAACGCUUAAAAUAUGGGCAACAGUAACAUAAAAGUAUACCUUUUAUUUAUUAUAUUUAAAUCCAUAACAC
Molecule: non-coding RNA, 362 nt
Organism: Pelobates cultripes (western spadefoot toad)
Lineage: Eukaryota; Metazoa; Chordata; Amphibia; Anura; Pelobatidae
Source: the annotation of a GenBank genome assembly